Molecule: ribosomal RNA, 1210 nt
Filed under: metagenome
Description: bacterial SSU rRNA
Rfam family: Bacterial small subunit ribosomal RNA
Source: RNAcentral
AGAGUUUGAUCCUGGCCCAGGAUGAACGCUAGCUACAGGCUUAACACAUGCAAGUCGAGGGGAAACGAUAUUGGAAGCUUGCUUCCGAUAGGCGUCGACCGGCGCACGGGUGAGUAACGCGUAUCCAACCUGCCCAUCACUUGGGAAUAACCUUGCGAAAGUAAGACUAAUGCCCAAUGACAUUUAUAGAAGGCAUCGGAAAUGAAUUAAAGAUUUAUCGGUGAUGGAUGGGGAUGCGUCUGAUUAGCUUGUUGGCGGGGUAACGGCCCACCAAGGCGACGAUCAGUAGGGGUUCUGAGAGGAAGGUCCCCCACAUUGGAACUGAGACACGGUCCAAACUCCUACGGGAGGCAGCAGUGAGGAAUAUUGGUCAAUGGGCGAGAGCCUGAACCAGCCAAGUAGCGUGCAGGAUGACGGCCCUAUGGGUUGUAAACUGCUUUUAUAGGGGAAUAAAGUGAUCCACGUGUGGUUUUUUGCAUGUACCCUAUGAAUAAGGACCGGCUAAUUCCGUGCCAGCAGCCGCGGUAAUACGGAAGGUCCGGGCGUUAUCCGGAUUUAUUGGGUUUAAAGGGAGCGUAGGCCGGAGAUUAAGCGUGUUGUGAAAUGUAGAUGCUCAACAUCUGCACUGCAGCGCGAACUGGUUUCCUUGAGUACGCAUAAAGUGGGCGGAAUUCGUGGUGUAGCGGUGAAAUGCUUAGAUAUCACGAAGAACUCCGAUUGCGAAGGCAGCUCACUGGGGCGCAACUGACGCUGAAGCUCGAAAGCGCGGGUAUCGAACAGGAUUAGAUACCCUGGUAGUCCGCGCGGUAAACGAUGGAUGCCCGCUGUUGGGCCAACUGGUUCAGCGGCCAAGCGAAAGCAUUAAGCAUCCCACCUGGGGAGUACGCCGGCAACGGUGAAACUCAAAGGAAUUGACGGGGGCCCGCACAAGCGGAGGAACAUGUGGUUUAAUUCGAUGAUACGCGAGGAACCUUACCCGGGCUUGAAUUGCAGAGGAAGGAUUUGGAGACAAUGACGCCCUUCGGGGCCUCUGUGAAGGUGCUGCAUGGUUGUCGUCAGCUCGUGCCGUGAGGUGUCGGCUUAAGUGCCAUAACGAGCGCAACCCCUCUCCAUAGUUGCCAUCAGGUUAAGCUGGGCACUCUGUGGACACUGCCACCGUAAGGUGUGAGGAAGGUGGGGAUGACGUCAAAUCAGCACGGCCCUUACGUCC